Molecule: ribosomal RNA, 248 nt
Filed under: uncultured bacterium
Lineage: Bacteria
Description: partial 16S ribosomal RNA
Rfam family: Bacterial small subunit ribosomal RNA
Source: RNAcentral
CACGCCCUAAACUAUGUCAACUGGUUGUUGGGGGUUUGACACUCUCAGUAACGAAGCUAACGCGUGAAGUUGACCGCCUGGGGAGUACGGCCGCAAGGUUAAAACUCAAAGGAAUUGACGGGGACCCGCACAAGCGGUGGAUUAUGUGGAUUAAUUCGAUGCAACGCGAAAAACCUUACCUACCCUUGACAUGUCCUGAAGCCUGGAGAGAUCCGGGUGUGCCCGAAAGGGAACGGGAACACAGGUGC